GCAAGUGUAAAUUAUUACAAAGUUACCUUUUGGCUUCUCAAUCGCGUUCUCCUUCACCCCACACUACUCUUCUCCAUCGAUGCUGUGUGCUGUUCGCAGCAGAGAUUAAUCAGGCGGUAUUUACACUAUAUACUAAUCAAGCUUUGGAACUAAGAAAUCCAAAUUUUUAAAGUAUUCUUUUCAAAACAAAAUAUUGUCUACAUUUCUGGCUGCAGGUUAAGGUCGAGACCUUUAGUUCUUUGGCAGAACUAAAAUCAUUCCACUGGAUGUUCAUUCAUGGAUUUCUUGUAGGAUUGUUCGACGAUAAUUGUAACUUUCUGGCGCUGAUCUCGAAAUAAAAUCGCUUAGUGAUGUUAUAUUUUUA
This is a long non-coding RNA of Drosophila persimilis, 364 nucleotides long. RefSeq lists it as uncharacterized. NCBI's taxonomy places the organism in Eukaryota, Metazoa, Arthropoda, Insecta, Diptera, Drosophilidae. The transcript is spliced from 3 exons. The record is from RefSeq and is a predicted model, not a curated record.